UAUUGAAGUUACAUGUUUUUAAAAAUAAGAUAAAAUUUUAAUCUAUUGGCAAGACUAUAUCUUAAACUUUUCAUAUUAUUAAUUCCACUUCCCUUACGGGAAUAUUAUAACAAAACAGUAAAACAUACAUUGGACUGAUGAUAUAUAGUUUGGGACCCUAGCAGUACAUGAAAAGAUAGUAUUGCACCAGAAAAAAGUAAUAGCGGAAGAAUUUAUUUAUAAAAGAUAGUAAUAACAUAAACAAAAGAAUUGCAACAAAAAAAAAAGGAAAGAAUAUUUGAACAUUAUAAACCGGAGUUUCGGAUGAAAGUGAUCAUACUAAUAGAAGUUGAUGCAUUACUGAGAAUCGAAAUGAUUAACCCUUUCCUCCGAUUCCAAAUGAAAACAAAGUUUUGGCUAUUUUAGAUUGAAAAUAAUCUGAUUUUUGGUUUCAACAACAACAACAACCCAGUAUAAUCCCACUUAGUGGGUCUGGGGAGGGUAGUGUGUACGCA
This 494-nucleotide long non-coding RNA is filed under the name Nicotiana benthamiana. RNAcentral's name for it is "long non-coding RNA (NBEN_LNC041038)". Lineage: Eukaryota; Viridiplantae; Streptophyta; Magnoliopsida; Solanales; Solanaceae. The record is from RNAcentral.